Molecule: long non-coding RNA, 193 nt
Organism: Drosophila innubila
Lineage: Eukaryota; Metazoa; Arthropoda; Insecta; Diptera; Drosophilidae
Exons: 2
Source: RefSeq, a predicted model, not a curated record
CCACAUUAACCUUUUGGAGUCUUUACAGUCAACAUCUCUAUAUUUUACUUGUGAAUUUGUAUAAUUGUAUAUAGGCAUGUGCUAGUGUUUCCUGCAAUUGAACAUCGGGAGCGUCGGCUGUGUGGAGCUUUGGAAUUUCUAAUCAAGUUCAAGAUUUGUGAAAUCUGUCAGUCGUCUGCUUUCCAAACAAUCC